GUACUGAUGAAGAGUCCCAAAAUGAGACGAAACAGCCGUCUAGUAC
This 46-nucleotide non-coding RNA is filed under the name Trichobilharzia regenti. Lineage: Eukaryota; Metazoa; Platyhelminthes; Trematoda; Strigeidida; Schistosomatidae. The record is from RNAcentral.